CAACUUCCACCUGGCUUACCUCCUCAGUUACACGUCAUGGGUUCUAUCUCCUUGUACGUGUUUUGGGUUUCCUGUGUUGAUUUCCAAUUUGAUGGCAAUGUUUUGGCUAUUUGAAGUCCCUUUUCAUCUUGUGUUGCCUAUGUUUUUCAAGAUGAACCAUGAAGUGUUCUCUUUGUUCCACUAAGUUGAUGCAAAUGCAUUGAUGUUGUGGCCCAUUGAGCGUUGCUAGGUGUCCUGAAUAUGGAACAUUACGUGGGCAUGGGGUCCUUUAUGGCUCUAGUUUUGUCCUUGUUGAGUGUUCUUCAAAACGACAGUUCAUGCGCCUAGGCUCGUACCUGUGUCAUGAUCUUUGUCAAAGAGGAAUGCUACCUGGUUGAUCCUGCCAGUAGUCAUAUGCUUGUCUCAAAGAUUAAGCCAUGC
This 420-nucleotide unclassified non-coding RNA is filed under the name Senecio hemmendorffii. RNAcentral's name for it is "partial contains external transcribed spacer and 18S ribosomal RNA". The stretch from base 367 to 420 matches the Rfam family "Eukaryotic small subunit ribosomal RNA", at positions 1 to 54 of the family's 1831-position model. The record is from RNAcentral. Lineage: Eukaryota; Viridiplantae; Streptophyta; Magnoliopsida; Asterales; Asteraceae.